This 3199-nucleotide long non-coding RNA is filed under the name Aquilegia coerulea. RNAcentral describes it as "long non-coding RNA (ACOE_LNC001126)". The record is from RNAcentral. Lineage: Eukaryota; Viridiplantae; Streptophyta; Magnoliopsida; Ranunculales; Ranunculaceae.
UUCUUUGCCUGACCCCCCGGGAAAUUCCAAAUAAAGUAUAUAAACCAACAAGUUUCCAAACCUAAUCUUUCUCUCGGCCAAAAGUGCAGCGCAAAACACCGAUCGAAAUUCACUCGUCGUCUUCACCCUCGAUCGACCUCCGCAAAACACCGAUUGACCAUCACUCGUCAUCUUCACCAUCGAUCGCUGUCCACCAUCACUCGUCGUCUUCACCAUCGAUCGCUGUCCACCAUCACUCGUCGUCUUCACCAUCGAUCGACCUCCACCUUCUGUCAUCGUCAUCGACGUCGACAUCGACCCGUCGUUUUCAUUCAAUUCGACGGUGAGUUUUCUUGGACAGCAAUGCGAAUUUUGUUUAGAUAAAUCGAUUUUCUUCUUGUUUGGUUUCGGUUUAACAACAAAUGUUAAACAAAUUUUAUUCGUUCAUUUGUAUAAGUUUGGGGUUUUCUCGAAAUUGUGUUCUUCAAUUCCAAUUUUUGAAAACCCUAACCCUAAAAAUUUGGGGGUUUUUCAAAAUUAGGUUAAUUGUGUUUCAAAAUUAGGUUAAUUUGGGGGUUCAUAUCUCUCUUGUUUUUUUCUUUAAUCGAUUUGUUUUUAUAUUCCUUGUUUCUGUUAAUGAAGUUCUUUCAGCGAGAGUUAAUUUUAAGGUUUAGAGCCGAACCUAACUCAACCGAAGUACCCUAGUGUGUGGCAGACCACUGUAUAUGCUCACCAAAGAAAGAGAUGCUUUGCUACUUUGUGUGGUGAUGGUUGUUUCAUCUAGCUUAGCUAUACAUUUGUGUGCACUACGUCUGGGGUUUCACAUAUACUUUAUAAGCUUAUAAGCGUGUCACAAUGUCAUUCUCGUUUAUCGUCAGUUUUAAUUGCUUAAUCACUUUCAUACUGGCGAGAGGGUCAGUCAUAAUUUGAUGCAUUAUCAUCAAUAAUUAGACAUAUAUAUGGAUUCAUGCAUCAGUGACCAAUGCUGAUAUGGUGUUUAGUCAGACAAAAGUGUGUUAUUUGAAGAUACAAAUAGGCAUGAGUAGUAGCUUUCAAGACUGAAUUUCAUAAAGCUGAUAUGGUGGUACAUCCUUAGAGUUCCAACAAGGUGUGUAGAUUUAAUCCAAAAAAUACUAACACUGACAAUUGACAAUUCAAGGCUAUGGAUGUUGGCCAAGUACUCUCUAGUCUUUCUAGGCUACGGAUGUCUGUCAAAGCAUGGCCAUGACAUAGUGUUGAUCAAAGUAUUUAAUGACAUGGUAUAUGUCUAUAUGAUGUUUCAUAUGUAUGUACAGUAUUGGUUUGAGAUAAGAAUAUAUGACUUUCUUUAUCCCAAAUUUGUUUAGCUGUGUUAGCUUUGUAUUCCUCUAGUUUUGUUAAUCAUGUCCUCUUUUUCUUAUAGGUCCCUGGAUUUUCUUCAUUGCGCCGUAAUCUCCUUCAUCUUUCACCCUUGAUCCAAAUAGUUAUUUGUGAUGCUGAACGUACGAACGCCCUAACUGCGUACGUACGUUCCUGAACGGGGGGGGUGGGAAGGGUUGAGGACAUAAGAUUUGGAACCGUAAACUUUUUGAAGGCGCUCUUUUUCUUUUCUUUUCUUUUUUUCCAGGUUAGCGCAUCUUCCUGAAGAGGUGAAAACGACACUAGAAGAUCCAGAUAGCAGGUGAAUGCUCUUGCUUACAUAAUUUAUAUUGCACAAGUAGAUUUGCAAUUGCUACUUCACAGACACGACUAUCUUGCUAGAAAACACCAAAAUUAUUACUUUUGAAUCAGGAAGCUGUAUACUUAUAAAAAAAUUCAAUGCUGCAAAAAGGAGGAUGAUGAAAGGAAUAAAUGGAAAGACUAAAGGUUAUACAGAUGGUUAAUAUGAUGCAUGAACUGGAGGAUUAUGUCUAUUGCAUAUUGUAGUUGUUCAAAACUUCAAAUAUGGUAACAACGUGAAUUAUGGCUUAAUCCAUAGGCUUUCUCCUUUUUAUGAUGAUAAUUGAGCACUAUUGGUUUCAUUUACGGUCCAUAAGUGAUUUGAGGUCAUUAUAAGUCUUAAUAAGAUAACAAGAAUAUAGGCCAAGGACCAGGUUAUGAAGUUUGUUUUGGAUUUACAAUUUUAAUUUAAAAACUAACUUAUAUACACAGUAUUUGGUUUGGUAGCGCAGAAUUUCAAUUUUUCAAUUUUUCAAACACCUUGUGUUGAGAGUUGAAUUGAUAAGAACUACAUUAUGGUGUACUAAACCACCCUGAAAUAAUUUUCGGGUGCAAAUAAACAUAACAAGGUUUGAUUGAAUAACACUUUGGAAUAAGAUUUGGCGAGGGUUACGCUACCAUGUACCUCCGCUCUUAACUAAGGCUACCUUCCCGAGUUAAUCUUCCCACGGCAAAAUGGAAUAGAGACAUCAAAAAGAUAUCCCCUCAUGCCCCAGGCUAUCCUCCAAAAUACAAUACAAAUAUAUAUACUUUGGAGGUUCAAACCUGGUGAGGUCUUCAACAAAACCCGUAUACGGCUGUACGUUUAAGUUAAUCUCCUGUUUCCAUACUUAUACUCGUUUUUCCUUAGGACUUCCAAAGUUCCCACAAUGUGGUUUUCAUCUUUAUUAUAUCAUUAUAAAUGUAUCAUAUAUGUAUAUCAUCCAUCUUCAGCAUGGUUCAUACAGUACAUGUUAAUAAACAAGGGAUGUAUCAUGCAUGCAUGCUGAUUACCUCUGACCAUGCAAGUGUAGUUAAUUAUUGUGUGCGGCUUUGGCGUAAAAUAUAUAUUCCCAACAUUAUACUGUACAUACACAUUACACAGUGUGUAUAUAUAUAUAUAUAUAUAUAUAUAUAUAUAUAUAUAUAUAUGCUCCUUGUUGUAUAUAUGUAGGUUUGUAAAUGUUUGGGAAUAUCACAGAAGAAUUAAUGUAUGCGAAACAACUUUUAGAAGAGUUAAAACUUAAAACUGGUCAAUUUUAACAAGGAGCUGACUGCUGAGGCAUGAAUGAAAUUGAGGCCAGGUGGUUGUAAAUAUAGAUUUACUUAAGUAACCCAUUUGAAUAUAAAAUGAUGACGUUGUGUAUUCUAGUUGGAUAGUCAGUAUGAAAUUCUAUUGCCAUGGUGAGUAUAAUAACAUUACUAUUAGUAUUUACUACUCUCUCAAAAUGAUUAGAACAAUCUAAUUAUUUUUCUUUUCCAAGUUGCAGUCUCGAAGUCUCGCAUCUUCGUUUCGGUCGUCACUCUCUGCUUUAUUUCUUUG